AGUCGUACCAAGGUUUCGUAGGUGAACCUGCGGAAGGAUCAUUA
This 44-nucleotide ribosomal RNA is filed under the name Sphaerobolus stellatus. RNAcentral describes it as "partial 18S ribosomal RNA". Lineage: Eukaryota; Fungi; Basidiomycota; Agaricomycetes; Geastrales; Sphaerobolaceae. The record is from RNAcentral.